RNAcentral lists this transfer RNA (68 nucleotides) under Rubrisciurus rubriventer (Sulawesi giant squirrel). RNAcentral describes it as "tRNA-Thr". It matches the Rfam family "tRNA". From Rfam's summary of the family: Transfer RNA (tRNA) molecules are approximately 80 nucleotides in length. The record is from RNAcentral. Lineage: Eukaryota; Metazoa; Chordata; Mammalia; Rodentia; Sciuridae.
GUUCUAAUAGUAUAAUUAUUACUUUGGUCUUGUAAACCAAUAAUGAAGAUUUAAAUCUUCUUAGAACA